This 1078-nucleotide long non-coding RNA is filed under the name Oncorhynchus kisutch (coho salmon). RNAcentral's name for it is "lncRNA (ENSOKIG00005033551.1)". Lineage: Eukaryota; Metazoa; Chordata; Actinopteri; Salmoniformes; Salmonidae. The record is from RNAcentral.
CCCCCUUGGUCUAACUAACGUUAGCUAGCUACUGGUAGCUGCAGACCAAAUAUAUGAGCUGACUAGCAUGAAAGUUAAGCAUUGCACUGUACUUGUGCAUGUAACAAUAUAACUUCAACUAGUUGACAACCACAUUACCUUUCGCAAGGUAAUAAUACUGUUGGAAAAUCCACGUUUGUAAUGAUUCAUCCGUUUAUCCUUAAGAAACUCCAAAACCACUAGAUAUACAAUGAUUUGAAUAAACUGGCUUGCCAACUUGUUAGUUUCUUCUCGGUGUUGUUGCCCCCACUAUCGUGCUUUGUAGAGGCCCGCUUGUAAAGACACGUUUCCAUGCAAACGGCGCCUGCACCAUUUUCAACUCCCUUACUCGGUUGCACACCGGCCCCACGAGAAGGCAAGCCGUCCACAAUAAUGUGAGCGUUUAUGUCCUAAUUCGCUCAUAAAGCACACAGACUGAUUGCCAAUUGUGAAAAUUAGGCCACCCCGAUUUUGAUGCAAGGGGAAGAAAAGUUCCUGAAAAGAAAAGAAAAGCUGGAAGCAGGUUGAAACAUUUGUCAUGUGCAUACACAUUUUACACUCCCACAUUGAUGCAUUAAUUAUCUUGGCCAGGUCGCAAUUGUAAAUGAGAACUUGUUCUCAACUUGCCUACCUGGUUAAAUAAAGGUGAAAUAAAUCAAUAAAAUGAGGUUCCCUAGCUGUAAGUUAUAAAUUCCAUAUAAACAGAAGAAACAGUAGUCAGAAACGCAGCGCGGGCCGCACAGCUGGGCCGUUGAGUGCGCGUGCCGGGUUUGAGCGAAUACAACCAACUGUCAUCUACACCAUUUACUAAAUCAUUCUUAACCGAGGACUACGAGACAAGGUGAAAAUGGACAGGCACCUGUAAGAUUCCUAUCUGCCCAUGACCCUUGAGGAUCACACAACCAUAGUGAGCAAUUGGCCUUUUUACUCAAAAGGACCCCCCCCCUCACAACAUGAUCAUUCUCCUCCCCUCUCUCUAACUUCAAAUCCAUCUGUAUACUUCCUACCAACUCUUCUUUCUCUCUGCCUGGUGAGUUGUAGUUGAAUACUUUUAAUGGCA